GAUGAAGAACGUAGCGAAAUGCGAUAAGUAAUGUGAAUUGCAGAAUUCAGUGAAUCAUCGAAUCUUUGAACGCACAUUGCGCCCGCUAGUAUUCUGGCGGGCAUGCCUGUCCGAGCGUCAUUUCAACCCUCAAGCCCCCGGGCUUGGUGUUGGGGAUCGGCGAGCCUCCGCGCCCGCCGUCCCCUAAAUCUAGUGGCGGUCUCGCUGUAGCUACCUCUGCGUAGUAGCACACCUCGCACUGGGAAACAGCGCGGCCACGCCGUUAAACCCCCAACUUCUGAACGUUUGACCUCGGAUCAGGUAGGAAUACCCGCUGAACUUAAGCAUAUCAAUAAGCGGAGGA
Molecule: unclassified non-coding RNA, 343 nt
Filed under: soil metagenome
Description: partial contains 5.8S ribosomal RNA, internal transcribed spacer 2, and large subunit ribosomal RNA
Rfam family: 5.8S ribosomal RNA (bases 1-120)
Source: RNAcentral